Molecule: ribosomal RNA, 253 nt
Filed under: uncultured bacterium
Lineage: Bacteria
Description: partial 16S ribosomal RNA
Rfam family: Bacterial small subunit ribosomal RNA
Source: RNAcentral
UACGGGGGGGGCAAGCGUUGUUCGGAAUUACUGGGCGUAAAGGGCUUGUAGGUGGCCAACUAAGUCAGACGUGAAAUCCCUCGGCUUAACCGGGGAACUGCGUCUGAUACUGGAUGGCUGGAGUGUGGGAGAGGGAUGCGGAAUUCCAGGUGUAGCGGUGAAAUGCGUAGAUAUCUGGAGGAACACCGGUGGCGAAGGCGGCGUCCUGGACCAUUACUGACACUGAAAAGCGAAAGCCAGGGGAGCAAACGGG